GUUGGGUAGGGGAGCGUUCUGUAAGCCGUUGAAGGUGUGCUGUGAGGCAUGCUGGAGGUAUCAGAAGUGCGAAUGCUGACAUAAGUAACGAUAAAGCGGGUGAAAAGCCCGCUCGCCGGAAGACCAAGGGUUCCUGUCCAACGUUAAUCGGGGCAGGGUGAGUCGACCCCUAAGGCGAGGCCGAAAGGCGUAGUCGAUGGGAAACAGGUUAAUAUUCCUGUACUUGGUGUUACUGCGAAGGGGGGACGGAGAAGGCUAUGUUAGCCGGGCGACGGUUGUCCCGGUUUAAGCAUGUAGGCGGAGGUUCCAGGUAAAUCCGGUACCUUUUAACGCUGAGGUGUGAUGACGAGGCACUACGGUGCUGAAGUAACAAAUGCCCUGCUUCCAGGAAAAGCCUCUAAGCAUCAGGUAACACGAAAUCGUACCCCAAACCGACACAGGUGGUCAGGUAGAGAAUACCAAGGCGCUUGAGAGAACUCGGGUGAAGGAACUAGGCAAAAUGGUGCCGUAACUUCGGGAGAAGGCACGCUGACAUGUAGGUGAAGCCCCUGCGGGUGGAGCUGAAGUCAGUCGAAGAUACCAGCUGGCUGCAACUGUUUAUUAAAAACACAGCACUGUGCAAACACGAAAGUGGACGUAUACGGUGUGACGCCUGCCCGGUGCCGGAAGGUUAAUUGAUGGGGUUAUCCUCAGGGAGAAGCUCUUGAUCGAAGCCCCGGUAAACGGCGGCCGUAACUAUAACGGUCCUAAGGUAGCGAAAUUCCUUGUCGGGUAAGUUCCGACCUGCACGAAUGGCGUAAUGAUGGCCAGGCUGUCUCCACCCGAGACUCAGUGAAAUUGAACUCGCUGUGAAGAUGCAGUGUACCCGCGGCAAGACGGAAAGACCCCGUGAACCUUUACUAUAGCUUGACACUGAACAUUGAGCCUUGAUGUGUAGGAUAGGUGGGAGGCUUUGAAGCGUGGACGCCAGUCUGCGUGGAGCCAACCUUGAAAUACCACCCUUUAAUGUUUGAUGUUCUAACCUGGCGCCGUGAUCCGGCGUGGGGACAGUGUCUGGUGGGUAGUUUGACUGGGGCGGUCUCCUCCUAAAGAGUAACGGAGGAGCACGAAGGUUGGCUAAUCCUGGUCGGACAUCAGGAGGUUAGUGCAAUGGCAUAAGCCAGCUUGACUGCGAGCGUGACGGCGCGAGCAGGUGCGAAAGCAGGUCAUAGUGAUCCGGUGGUUCUGAAUGGAAGGGCCAUCGCUCAACGGAUAAAAGGUACUCCGGGGAUAACAGGCUGAUACCGCCCAAGAGUUCAUAUCGACGGCGGUGUUUGGCACCUCGAUGUCGGCUCAUCACAUCCUGGGGCUGAAGUAGGUCCCAAGGGUAUGGCUGUUCGCCAUUUAAAGUGGUACGCGAGCUGGGUUUAGAACGUCGUGAGACAGUUCGGUCCCUAUCUGCCGUGGGCGCUGGAGAAUUGAGGGGGGCUGCUCCUAGUACGAGAGGACCGGAGUGGACGCAUCACUGGUGUUCGGGUUGUCAUGCCAAUGGCAUUGCCCGGUAGCUACAUGCGGAAGAGAUAAGUGCUGAAAGCAUCUAAGCACGAAACUUGCCCCGAGAUGAGUUCUCCCUGAGACUUAGAGUCUCCUGAAGGAACGUUGAAGACGACGACGUUGAUAGGCCGGGUGUGUAAGCGCAGCGAUGCGUUGAGCUAACCGGUACUAAUGAACCGUGAGGCUUAACCUUACAACGCCGAAG
This 1738-nucleotide ribosomal RNA is filed under the name Pluralibacter gergoviae. RNAcentral describes it as "bacterial LSU rRNA". It matches the Rfam family "Bacterial large subunit ribosomal RNA", at positions 1223 to 2925 of the family's 2925-position model. The record is from RNAcentral. Lineage: Bacteria; Pseudomonadati; Pseudomonadota; Gammaproteobacteria; Enterobacterales; Enterobacteriaceae.